UGCCAGUGGCCCCUUGCCAUAAGUAUUCAUGCCGGGCAAGAUGGCGGCGAUACAGAAUCGGUGUUAUUGCCAGUGGGCAUAAAAAAGGCAUUUUAUUUAAAAUAGAACAGCGAGUCAUAUCCAGUUAUACACUUGAACGCAUCGUGAGUGUAUCUGCCACGUAACCAGCGUCGACGUCUUUUUUAAUUUUACGCGUUUGAACGUUUUUCUUACAAAAUGUUCUCGUUGUAAGUCGCUCGCUAACCGACCAGCUGGCUAACAGAGAGCAGUUACUAGCUAGCUAUCCACCACAGCCAAGCCGCCGUGAAGUGUAGGAUGGGAGAAAAGCUGGAGCUCAAGCUCAAAUCGCCGGUUGGAGCAGAACCCGCUGGGUAUCCAUGGCCGUUACCAGUAUAUGAUAAACACCAUGAUGCUGCUCAUGAAAUCAUCGAGACCAUUCGGUGGGUGUGUGAGGAAAUCCCAGACCUCAAACUGGCAAUGGAAAAUUAUGUACUCAUUGACUAUGACACCAAGAGCUUUGAGAGCAUGCAGAGACUUUGUGACAAGUACAACAGGGCCAUUGACAGCAUUCAUCAGCUGUGGAAAGGGACAACCCAGCCCAUGAAGCUAAACAAGCGUCCUUCCAAUGGGCUGCUGAGACAUAUCUUACAGCAGGUGUACAACCACUCAGUGACCGACCCAGAGAAGCUCAACAACUAUGAACCCUUCUCCCCCGAGGUGUACGGAGAGACCUCUUUCGACCUGGUGGCCCAGAUUAUUGAUGAAAUGGAAAUGAUGGAAGAAGACACCUUUGUUGACCUUGGCAGUGGAGUAGGGCAGGUGGUGCUGCAGGUUGCAGCAGCAACCAACUGUAAACACUACUACGGUGUAGAGAAAGCAGACAUUCCAGCUACCUAUGCAGAGACCAUGGAUAAAGAGUUUAAAAAAUGGAUGAAAUGGUAUGGGAAGAAACACGGGGAGUACACACUGGAAAGAGGUGAUUUUCUGUCUGAAGAGUGGAAAGAAAGAAUCGCCAACACAAGUAUUAUUUUUGUGAAUAACUUUGCCUUUGGUCCAGAGGUAGAUCACCAGCUGAAGGAGCGCUUUGCUAACAUGAAGGAAGGAGGGAAAAUUGUAUCCUCCAAACCCUUUGCACCUUUAAACUUCAGAAUCAACAGUCGAAACUUGAGUGAUAUUGGCACAAUUAUGCGUGUGGUGGAGCUUUCUCCACUCAGAGGCUCUGUUUCCUGGACUGGAAAGCCAGUUUCCUACUACCUGCAUACCAUAGACCGCACCAUACUUGAAAACUACUUUGCUAGUCUCAAAAAUCCUAAACUCAGGGAGGAGCAAGAGGCAGCUAGAAGACGUCAGCAGAAGGACAGUAAAAGCAAUAGUACCACGCCUACAAAACCCAAGGAACCAAACAAGCAGGACUCCUGUGGUGAAGAGGAGCGUCCUAGCUUGGUGACUGUGGUCAAGCCCUCCGCUAAACCGAGAAGAACGCGACUCCUGGCCAAAGGUCGCAAGCUGAACAAUAAGAAACGUGGUCGACCCAAGAAAGCUACUCCAGCUGCUGAGAAGAAAAAUAAGAAGAAUCAGAGUGCGUUGGAUUUGCUGCAUGCCAAGACCCUUUCUGCAGCACCCCCUCAGGAUGCAUACCGACCACCUCAGAAUCCCUUCUACCAGCUACCUCCCAAGGUCCAGCACUAUACCCCUAGUCAACUUCUGCUGAGCCCAACUCCCCCUGGUUUGGAAAAACUGCUAGACAAUAUCAAAAUUCAGUACCUCCAGUUUAUGGCCUACAUGAAGACUCCUCAGUACCGCUCCAACCUGCAACAACUUUUAGACCAAGAGAAGCAAAAACACAGGGACCUAUCAGGGCAGGCGGAGCAGCUCCAUUUGGUCUGUCAGUCUCACAAGGAGAAGAUCAAAGGUCUCUUUCAGACUAAACUGGAUGAGCUGGGAGUAAAAGCCCUGACUGUGGAGGACCUCCUUCAGGCCCAGAAGGAGAUAUCAGCCCAUAACCUUCAGCUGAAGGAGCAAACCAAGCAGCUUGAGAGAGAUAUGGCUUUGCUGAGAGACCACAGCUUGCUGCUGCUGAAGUCUCGAUGUGAGGAGUUGAAGCUGGACUGGGGCUCUUUGUGUCUGGAGAGUUUGUUGAAAGAGAAGCAGGCCCUGCGCAAACAGAUCUCCGAGAAGCAGAGACAUUGCUUGGAGUUGCAGAUAAGCAUUGUGGAGCUGGAGAAAAGUCAAAGGCAGCAGGAGCUACUUCAGCUGAAAUCCUACAGCCCUGGCGAAAGCUCCCCGUAUAGAAAAAACCUGGAAUCUCGUGCUUCCACAGACGUGGACUCUUCUAAGCUCGGCCUGUCUACAGCCCCAGUUCUCAACGGUGUUAGCCCAGAGUUUACUAUCAACGGCACCAGCUCACCUUGUUUUGACCGGGUUAACUCCAAGGGUGAGCUUCUUUCUCGAUACCUGCCCAUAUCCCCGGACCAUGAAUUAGUGGCUGCCACCCCUGAUGCCCGACAGAGGCAGCAAAGCUUCUGUCAUGCUCUUCCUGACUACACGCGCUUCUCCCCUGCCAAGAUUGCCUUGCGUAGGCACCUUAACCAGGAUCCUACUGCCUCUGCUCACUUAAGAGGUCCAGGGCUGACCACACAUAGGGAUCUGGGUGGUGUUAACUCUCCACUUGGAGCCAAACAGAACUGCCCCUCUCCCAACGGAUGUGAUGCUCAGAAUAAUCUCAAAAGCUCAGAGAGGGGCAUUAAAGAGAGGAGUCCAUCUGUUCAGGGAGACAACAGCAUUACAAGCCUUCCUAUUAGUAUCCCACUGAGCACUGUUCACCCAAGUAAAUUGCCAGUUAGCAUCCCACUGGCCAGUGUGGUGCUACCCAGUCGUGCUGAGAGACUGAGAAGUACUCCGAGUCCUGUGUCACAGACCGGUCAGACCAAUGGAUAUUCAUCCAUCUCCAGCAUGAUGAAUGGAGGUCUGCACCCCGAGGACCACAAUGGCACUUCUUCACCACCUCCACACAGCAACACUUUAACAAUGGGCCGAGGCGGUCCGACCCAGAGCCCCCCUCUCAGCACUGGGGGGGUGCUCCAGUAUGCCGACGGACCCCCGAGGAUUGUUCCAGAAGAUGGACCGGAGGGCCAAGGAGGUGAAUCGGACGCAGAAGCCCAGGAGAGUGAACUGCGAAGGAGGAUCUUUUUCUCCUCCUCUUCUUCUUCAUCCUCGUCUUCCUCUUCGUCAGGCAGCGGGGGCAGCGCAGCCGGAGGAUCUCGCCUCCACCACCACACUGGCAACCCGGCCAAGCAGGGAUACCACAGUAACCAUGGAAACCACCAUCACCAAUCGCCCAGCACGCAGCACGCUCACACACCCACACAUAUGUCGUCAUCGCACUCCUCUCACAGCCUCUGCUCUCAAGAGGGACGCAAGCGGGGGAGACGGAAACGUGGCAACCCAGGGCCUGUUAUGGCCAGUGGAUCCCCAAAGAGAAGAUCAUUCCCUGGGCUCAGCUCCAGCAACCACUCCUCAGGAUCGCCACUCAAUAUCAACUCCAUGGUGAACAACAUCAACCAACCUCUGGAGAUCUCUGCCAUCUCCUCUCCAGAGCAAUCAAGCCGCAGCCCCGUUGGGCCUGACCUAGACCAACCUCCCAUCUUGAAGAGAGAGCGCCCCCUGGAGAUGAACGGCACGGGUCGAUAUUCCACAGCACCCAGCUCAGACGAUGAGGACUCGGGUUAUCCUGUUGACAGCUCCAGUUCUCGAAUUGAAAGAAAAAUAGCCACUAUAUCGUUGGAGAGCAGAGAUGGAUCUGGUAGACUCGGAGAUGGUGAACGAGGGAGAAAAUCAGGAAGCAGCAGUGGUAACAGCACCGGCAGUGAAGCCUCCUCAUCGUCAUCUUUGUCCUCUACCAGCAAAUGGAAAUCCACCUUUUCACCCAUUUCUGAUCCCAAACAACCCAACUCUGACCUGAGACAGGGGGGCUCUCCGUUUGGCAUCGGGGGUUCGGGUCGGGGCACAGACUCAGAUUCUGACCACAAACAGCAGCAGGUGAGGAAAGGGAGCGAUGGAGAGUCCAGCUACAGCAAUCCAAACCCUUUCCUCAGUCAGGAGGCAAGCACCAGGGGUGGAAGCAGCAGUGCUGGUGGUGCUCAAGGAGGAAGCAGUUCAGACCAGCGCCAGACCCUCCAGAAGCAGAAGGCCUCCCGUGACUGGGAGCUGAAGAACAGCGGCAAUCUGGCCAGUCAGAACCUCUUCAUUUCUGCUGCCGCCAGCAGUGGAGGAGGCAUUCUUAGUGGGAAAGUGGGAGGCAGUCCUGUAGCUGUUUCCUCGAGCACUGGGUCAUCUGUGGGGCAGUACCUGGGGGCCCAGUUCCCACUUGGAGGAACCUCAGUCUUGCAAUCUUUGUUUGGGGCCCAGACUGGUGGAUCCACGGUGACUGGGACCCCUCGGCUUGUCAACGGACACUCUGCCCUAGGAAGCUUCUCCAGUGCUGGGUUGGCAGGGGGAGCAGCUGGAGGUAUAUUUCACCACGUGGUUCCCUCAGUGUCCUCCCAUCAGUUUGGGGCAACGCUCCCCACCUCAGGAGGCCUCAACUCUCUGCUCAGUCUCCCCUCCUCCUCUUCCUCUACCUCCUCCCAAACCCAGCAACACACCACUCCCCAGCCAGCCUCCACGCGCCUGGCGCCCGUGUCCUCGCCUAUGCCCCUCUCGUUAUCCCAGGCCCAGCACAGCCGCACGCAGUCAGUCCUGCAUAGCCCCUCUCCUCCCACGCUCUCCCUGCCCCCUCCUCCACCCCUGCAUAGCGUCCCCUCCUCGUCGACAUCCACGCACUCUGACUCCCCAGCAUCUUCUCGAUCAGACUCCCUCCACUCCUCGCGUCUGUCCCUCUCCUCUCUCCACCAUCAGAGAGCACAAUCAUCCCUCUCCAUCUCAUCCUCUACCUCUGCUGCUUCUGUCUCUGCUGCUGCAUCCCUUUCCUCUUCCUCUCUCUCAGCCUCCUCUGCCUCCUCCUCUCGUCCAUUUGCAGUGCACUACUCCCCCCGUCUGCCCCCUCCGCCACCGACCAGCAGUUCUGGUGGUGCUGGGAGCAUGUGGAGGACUCAGAGCAUGCAUGGUACCUACACCACCUCCCAGCUCCCCAGCUCCCGACCUAGAUAGGGUUUGGGGCUGAGGGGAAGGGCGAGGAGAGGGGAAGGGCGGAGAACAAUCUGAGGGUGGAUAGAGGGUGAGCGAGAGAGGCUGGUAGGGAGUGAGAGAGACAGGAUGCCUGUUUUCCAUGUGCUUCUGCAAGCUGUUUGUCUGACUGAACAAGGUAAUUGAUGAAAACUACCUCAACAUUAAAUAAACUAUGCAAAUGUCCAGGUGUGGACCAAGGCACUCUCCUCAUUCACUGGUGCUUCAAACUCUGCACUACCCAAUCGCCUCCAAGACCGGCUUCUGUACUGGGAUCUUUGACACACACACACACACACACACACACACACACACACACACACACACACACACACACACACACUCUCUAACCACCACUAUGGUCACCCUGAGCAGAAUUCAUAGGUACUGGUCAUGUUUGUGUGGAGUAGUGUUGUCCAGCUCUGAGUGAACUUAAAUAUCGUGUUUGACUUUAAGGUGCUAUCUAAUCUGUUCAUAUGUAGUUUCUUUGUUCUGGUGCCAA
RNA transcript from Pundamilia nyererei, 5665 nucleotides. It is a transcript of the gene named DOT1-like histone H3K79 methyltransferase, with no coding region annotated. The record is from RefSeq and is a predicted model, not a curated record. The transcript has 29 exons. Lineage: Eukaryota; Metazoa; Chordata; Actinopteri; Cichliformes; Cichlidae.